UCCAUAUGCCAUGGGUGUGGCCCUAAAAGGACAAAAGACAAAAACAAACAAACAAAAAAAUGGGUUUUUCUUCUCUGAUUCUGACAUUUAGGUUCAGAUUUUGACUUUUGUUUUUAAUUUUUAUUUUUUUUAGACUUUCUAUCAUUAAUUUGAUCUUCAAAAAUCAUCAGUGAUCUGACUGAUGAUUUUUAGUCACAAAGGAUUUAGUAAAAAGCAUAAUAUUUACCAAUAUAUCCUGGUGUGGCCCUUGAAAAACAAAAUGGAGUCACUUUUAUCACAGGGAUCUAAAAUGGAACCUGGAGUCCUUUAAGGAAUAGAAUUUAUAUACAUUCAUACCUGGAUAAUUCAAACUUGUGACAUAUCCCCCCAAGAUCUUGAGACCACUUAGAACUUAUUUCCUUUAAACUCUCUUGCAAUCUGUCAAUUUAAAAAAAUGCACAAUCUGAAAGUUGAGAGUUGUUUUAUUUGGGGCAAAAUUAGGACUUAAGCCCAGGGGACACAUCUCAGGUAUCCCUGAGAAACUUCUCAGAGGCAAGUGAGGGAGGAGCUAGGAUAUACAGGAAUUUUUGUAACAAAGUUCAGGAAGCAGGAACAAAAGAGGCCUGGGCUCACUGAAAUCAUUCAUUUGAUAUGCACUUCUGCUCUCAGUGCAGUAUCCUGGGUUUUUACAGCCUGCGGGACUCACUGGCUCUCAUCCUUGGAGGUAACUGCUUUCACAGAUGACCCUGAUAUUCUUUAUCCUUAACUACAGAUUGAGCUGAAAUACCACCCAAGGAGGAAAAGGGGGAAUAUCAGGAUAUGAUAAAGGUGACAGGGAGGAGAUGUAUGCAACAUAUAUACAUUUACAAUGCAUACACAUAUUUUACAAAAGUUUGUUGCUAAUCAUCUGAAGUUUACUACCAGUCAUGAGGAGCAGACAUCAUCACCAUGAUGGAUUUUAGUAUUUUAUUCUAGAUAUGAGGAGAUGCAAGAAUUGGGCAUAUAAAAUAUCCUAAAAAGAUCUCACUAUCUGAACAUUUCUUCUAGUUUUCCCAGAGCACAGAGUUCCUCACUCCUGAAGUUCACCCUGAGCUCUGCUCAGGGGUUUUGUGAGUCUGUAGGAGAAAAUGUCCCAACAAAAAAUGUAGAAAGGAGAGAUCCCAGUCAUGAUGACUAAGCAAAGUCCAACCAACUGCCCCUAACCACCCCUCCCCCACAUAUCUGCUUCUGUAAACUUGCUUCCACAUUUACUACCUUGCCCGACUUCACUCUGAUCUGACCAGCCAAGCAUGGACCCAGAAAAGGUAGCCCAUAAAAGUCUUGUGAAACCCUACUUCAGGGCUCAGACUCCAGGGAGAGAUCUCCUCUGAGCCUGCCAUUGUAAUGAACUCUGAGUGCUCAGUUGGUUUCUUGCCAGGUAAAAGAGCUGAUACACUGCAACCACAGAGCUGCUGGACCUGGUACACUACAGCGACAGGGCCAUCACUAGAGCUGAUACACUGUGUUCAAGGGGCUGUGGGGCAGCUGCUGUAACAUUACUGGAGGCCCCAGGGAUAUUCCAACUAUUCUGGCCCCUUGAACCACCAGAGCAGUGGCAAGGCCACUCAGGAACUGGGGAGGCCACAAACUGAACAAGGCGGCAUGCCACCCCAUGGUAUUCUGGGUCCUCCUUCAUGAGUGGCAUUCCUGACUCCCAGGUGACUGAACCCCAAUUGGACUCAGUGGAGAGACAGACCAACUCACCAGGAAGGCAUCCGGACAAGUUAAGGCCCCAGGGCCAACCCCAGUCAGUUUGUGCCCCAGCAGGCAGAAGAGGGAACUGAUCACCCCCUUAGAGAGACUCUCCCAUUUGGAAGCUGUGCCUGACUGGAACAGUAGUCCUAGUGCUCCAGAUUGGAAGCAGAGGAACCUCCUUUCUUGGGUGGAACAACUAUCAGGAGUAGCUGAUUGAAAGUUGUGCUUGAUCAUCUGCUAUUUAGGGACUCUCAGGGAGUGGGAGGCAUUGUGAUAACCUCUGAGUGUGUGUGAGGGUGAAUGAGCAACCCGAUUUACUUGCUUUUCAGGUUUGAGUUUUUGGCUCCAUGGCCUUAGUGGCCAUGGAGUCUGAGUGGGUCCUAACCUGUGGUGACCUCAUAUGGCUUACAUCUGUAGUAGACUCUGAGGGUUCUCUUCCCUCCCUGUGAGUCCAAUCCAAGUUUGGGGCUUAUAUGAACCAGCCAAUUGUUAAGAGGCACCUAAAAUCCUGAGAGGGGUGUGGUCAGGUGGACAUCUGAAUGGCCAACUCCUAAGAGGAGGCACCCUCCCUUGUUUGGUCAGCAACACUGGCAUAGGGUGGCCACACAGGUUAGGACCUAACCCAGAAGCCCAUGAGCCAGAGACCCCUGUGAUUCCACCAUUUGGGCCAUAAAUUCCUCCAAGGAGAUAAUCUAACUUCACCUUGCCCCAGGUUUCCAGGGACUCCCAUCCCAGAUUCUAAACUGGAACUGCCCAUUUUGUCAGUUCACAGAGGCCUAGGAUCUGAGUCAGGGAGACUCCCCGAAAGAUUGGGUAAAGCCCCACUUGGAAGUUCCUCUAUUGGAACACCUAUUUUGCCACAAGUCCAUCAUCCCUGUCUCCUGCUACAUCAGCUCAGGGUACAAGGAGAAUUGGGUACAAGGCCCCCUGUCCUUUGCCCAAACAUUAGAACAUGUCUGAGAGUGCCUUCCCGAGACCCAGAGCUCAGAUGGAUCAAAAACACUUGCAAUAAAGCAGGUGCUCUCCCCAGCCAUAGAGUGAGCUGAGUGGGAGCUGUUUUGCUUUUAGGAGUGGUGGAGGCAAUGCUACAAGGGAUACCACCGAGGUCAGAGAAGGUCUCAUAAUAUCAGGUCAUAGACAAAUCCACAGAAAGACACAAUGGGCUCUCCCAAGUCCAAAGCCACAGUCCUAGAUUGUGUGAUCAAAGAUUUCAAAAAGGGAUUUUCUGGAGAUUAUGGUAUAAAACUCACCUGAUCUUUCAUCAUUUCCUUUGCUAUUACCUCAAAUAGAGCUGUGGGGGCAAAGGAAACAGACCUCUAGAUGUUAAGACCACUUUGAAUCUUACCAUGCCUGUGGGGGAAGACCAUGCCUGUGGGGGAAAAGGAGUUCAUAACUAGUAUUCAUCCAACUUAAGCCAAGUGUUUAGCCUCAGAGCCUGGGCAUAGUCAGUUUUGCUUUUUGCUGUUUACUUUCACCCUGGUUGGAGAAAUGGACAGCUGGUUCAUCCAAUUUACCUGUUAACUGUGGCUUAGGAACUUUCCUGAUAUUAAUAGAGUCAUGUCAGAGAGAGCAUCUUAGGAUUCAAAAACUCAGGACAGUACCUGUAUGCCUGAGUUUUCUUCACCUCUGUCCAGAGAUAUAUUGGGCAGAGAUGAUGGGAAGAGAUGCUAUGCUGGGAAAGAAUGGUUAAUUCCAGUCAGCCUAAGGUCAGAUGUGACAUUGGACCACUAACAUCUAGCUGCUCCGUAUAAGAGAGGGGAUGCCCUCACAUAACUGAGAAAGGACAAUAGGUGCUGCACACUGGUAUUUUCUCUUUUUCAGAUGGGAGCCACAGCCUCAAGCCUGGUGCAUGGCUAAAUAGCAACUCUUCUGACUUGUGCCUUGAAAAACUGAAAAAGAGUUUGGCCCUGAGACUCUGAAAAAGAAAUAUUUCCUUUUCUUUGGCACAAAAGCCUGGCCACCAUAUAACCUGUCUGUUGAGAGUGAUGGCCAUCUGAAGGCUCUAUAGAUGAUAACACUAUUCUCCAAUUAGACCUAUUUUGUAGAAGAGAUGGGAAAUUGUCAGAAGUGCCUUAUGUUCAGAUGUUUACAAUGAGGGAAAACACUACACUGAGGAAGGCUUGUGGACUUCCUUGGUACAUUAUGCCAACUCCCUUAGGACCUAGGUGCCCACUAUAUCCUUGCCCAACUGGGUCAGACCAUCCAGAAGUUAAUCAGCCUUUUCCAAUACUGCACAAGUCUCCUCCUCUUCCCCCUCCAAUGCCAAAGUUGUAUCCCUCUUUACACCCUUUACAAGAGGUAGCAAAUGGAGAAUGGGGACCAACAUGUGUCCAUAUGCCUUUUUCACUUCAGGACUUAAGGCAAAUAAAAACAGAUUUGGGAAAAUUAGCUUAUGAUCCAGAUGGAUAUAUUGAGGUCUUUCAGGGUCUGACACAGUCCUUGGAGUUAGCCUGGAAGGAUGUCAUGUUAUUACUAAAACAGACAUUGACUAUAAGUGAAAAACAAAAAAAAGUCUUAGAAAAUACUCAAAGCUGGGGAGAUGAAUGGUAUGCUAUAAAUGCCAGAGGCAGAUGAGAAGAGUAUCAAACAAGAUUCCCCACAGGGUGUCGAUCCUAAUUGGUCUUCUGAUGAGGAGGAUAAAGACAAUUGGCAUAGAAAUCAUUUUAUUACUUGUAUAGUUUGGGACUAAGAAUUGCAAGAAUAAAGCCCAUUAACUACUCCAAACUAUCAGAGGUUUAUCUAGGGGAACAAAAGGGACCAUCAGCUUUCUUAGAAAGACUCAGAGGGAGUUCCCAUCAUGGCUCAGUGGUUAACAAAUCUGACUAGGAACCAUGAGUUUGAAGGUUCAAUCCUUGGCCUUGCUCAGUGUGUUAAGGAUCUGGUGUUGCCAUGAGCUGUGGUGUAGGUUGCAGACAUGGCUUGGAUCCUGCAUUGCUGUGGCUGUGGCAUAGGCUGGUGUCUACAUCUCUGAUUAGACGCCUAGCCUUGGAACCUCCACAUGCCUUGGGAGUGGCAUUGGGAAAGGCAAAAAGACAAAAAAAAAAAAAAAAAAAAAAAAAAGAAAGAAAGAAAGAAAGAAAGAAAGACUCAGAGAGGCAUUGCAAAAACAUACACCAAAGAACCCAAAAACAAUGGAGGGCCAAAUAAUUCUUAAGGAUAAAUUCAUACCUCAAUCAGUGCCAGAUAUAAGGAGAAAGUUCCAAAAAUUGGAUUUUGGCCCUGAUCAGAACCUGGAGCACAUCCUCAGAAUAGCAACUUAAGUAUGGGGCCAGGAAGAAUGAAAGGAGAACAAGAGAAAAGACAGAGAAAAUGCUGAGGCUGAGGGUGUCAACCUGGGAGUUUCCAAGGAGAGAGGACUAGGGCAGAGACAUAUGCCUAGAACAUGUUUCCUCUGUGGAAAAGAGGGACACUUUAAAUGGGAAUGCCUCAAGGCUCAGACCACAGUACUGAGGCCCUGCCCCAUAUGUUGGGGAGAUCACUGGAAGAGGGAUUGCCCCCAAAAAUGAAGGUCUCUGGGGUGGACCCUCGAGCCCAAGAUCAAGACUGAUGGGACGUUUCCAUAGUGGCUCCUGUCCUUAUCACAACUCCCCUGGGUGACUCUAAAUGUAGGAAGACAGCCUAUUGACUUCCUCCUGGAUACAGGAUCCACCUUUUCAGUCCUCCUCUCCAACCCUGGGCCCCUCCUUCAUGAAUCUGCCACAUUCAUGGUAAUUUUGGAAAUCUGGUUAUGAAAUUUUUUAUACAACCUUUGAGUUGUGACUGGGAAACAAUUUUCUUCUCUCAUGCCUUUCUGAUUGUUCCAGAGAGUCCAACUCCUCUUUUAGAAAGAGAUAUUUUCCAGCACAAAUGAACAUCUCCUCAGAAAAGAAAAUCAUGGACUUGGAGAAGAGACUUGUGGGUGCCAGAUGGGAGGGGGAGGGAGUGGGAGGGAUCGGGAGCUUGGGCUUAUCAGACACAACUUAGAAUAGAUUUACAAGGAGAUCCUGCUGAAUAGCAUUGAGAACUAUGUCUAGAUACUCAUGUUGCAACAGAAGAAAGGGUGGGGGAAAAACUGUAAUUGUAAUGUAUACAUGUAAGGAUAACCUGACCCCCUUGCUGUACAGUG
Molecule: long non-coding RNA, 5818 nt
Filed under: Sus scrofa (pig)
Lineage: Eukaryota; Metazoa; Chordata; Mammalia; Artiodactyla; Suidae
Description: lncRNA (ENSSSCG00000053048.1)
Source: RNAcentral